Molecule: long non-coding RNA, 2002 nt
Filed under: Triticum aestivum (bread wheat)
Lineage: Eukaryota; Viridiplantae; Streptophyta; Magnoliopsida; Poales; Poaceae
Description: long non-coding RNA (TAES_LNC007747)
Source: RNAcentral
AAAGAGAUACAUAGUUGGCUUACAAUCGCCACUUCACACAAUUACAUGAAUAAAGCAUUACAUCAUACAGAUACAAUCAAGGUCCGACUACGGAACCAAAAUAAAAGAAGAACCCCAAAUGCGACAAAAGGUCCCCGAUCGACCCCAACUGGGCUCCACUACUAAUCAACUAGAACGAAACAACACAAAGGGGCAAGAUCUUCAUCGAGCUCCUCCUUGAGCUUGAUUGCGUCACCUGCUCGGUAACAUAGGUACCUGCAAACUGGUUUUGGAAGUAUCUGGUGAGCCACGAGGACUCAGCAAUCCCAUUACCAUGGGUAUCAAGACUAGCAAAGCUUAAAGGGAAAGGAAGGGGUAAAGUGGUGAGGUUGCAGCAGCGACUAAGCAAAUAUGGUGGCUAACCAACGCAAAUAAGAGCGAGAAGAGAACAAGCGGAACGGUCGUGAAGCUAGCAAUGAUCAAGAGGUGAUCCUGAACACCUACUUACGUCAGACAUAACACAGAAACCGUGUUCACUUCCCGGACUCCGCCGAGAAGAGACCAUCACGGUUACACACUCGGUUGAUGCGUUUUAAUUCGGAUCAAGUGUCAAGUUGUCUACAACCGGACAUUAACAAAUUCCCAUCUGCCACAUAACCGCGGGCACGGCUCUCGAAAGUUUAAAACCCUGCAGGGGUGUCCCAACUUAGCCCAUGACAAGCUCUCGCGAUCAUCGAAGGAAUAGACCUUCACCCAGGAAGACCCGAUCAGUCUCGGAAUCCCGGUACAUCAAGACAUUUCGACAAUGGUAAAACAAGACCAGAAAAGCCGUCCGAUGCGCCGACAAUCCCGAUAGGAGCUGCACAUAUCUCGUUCUCAGGGCAACACCGGAUGAGACAUCCUACGAGUAAAACCAAACCUCGAGUUGCCCCGAGGGGGCCCCGCAGUCUACUCGGUUCGAACCAGCACUUAGACAAGCACUGGCCCGGGGGGGCUGAAAUAAAGAUGACCCUCGAGAGAGCGACUCCCAAGGGAAAAAGAUAGGUGGUGGUGAGGCAAAUGGUAAAAGUCAAUGUUGGGCCUUGCUGGACAAGUUUUAUUCAAAGCGAACUGUCAAGGGGGUCCCAUAAAUCACCCGACCGCGUAAGGGACGCAAAAUCCGGGACAUAACACCGGUAUGACGGAAACUAGGGCGGCAAGAGUGGAACAAAACACCAGGCAUAAGGCCGAGCCUUCCACCCUUUACCAAGUAUAUAGAUGCAUUAAUAAUAUAAGAGAUAUUGUGAUAUCCCAACAUAAACCUGUCCACCAUGGAGAAAUCUUCAACUUCACCUGCAACUAGCAACGCUAUAAGAGGGGCUGAGCAAAGCGGUAACAUAGCCAAACAACGGUUUGCAUAGGAAAGGUGUCAAAGGUUAGGGGUUCAUGGCAAUAUGGGAUGGCUGGACAAACAGGUAAUAGGUAGCACAGCAUAGCGAAAGAACGAGGCAACUAGCAUAGCAAUGAUAGUAGUGAGAUCCAGGGUAGCGGUCAUCUUGCCUGAAAUCCCGCAAGGAAGAAGAACGAGUCCAUGAAGAAGAUGAACGGAUGAAGCCGAACCAAACGUAGACGAACGAAUCCUCACGAACGCAACGAAACAGGAACUAACAAGAAGAAGCACACAACAUAGGUAAACACACCACACAUGAACAAGACAUGAUGCACAACAAGCAUGAUGCAUGACCAAGCUACAUGAAGCUACUCAUGGCAAGAGAUGAUGCAAACAAGAACAACACAUCAAGGCAAGUUUAAAUGAGGCCGGGAACAACAUAUAACAAUUCCGGUAAGUCCUCAUAUGCAAAUUUCAAAAUGGGUCCAGAACUGAAUAAACAUUAUGUUCAAGUUGUUAAACAGCAAGUUAAGAUGCAGCAAGAUGAUCUACACGAAAUUCUAGUCAAGUUACAUAUAAAGUUCAUUAGAUUUGGAGCUACGGGCUAGAAAAUAUGAGCAAAACAAGUUAAACAUGGCAUUGAUGCAAAAUGCA